GCAGACACAUUCCAGCCAAUCAGCAGCAGACCCUCCCUCCCAGACCCUGCCACCUCCUGGACAGCAUCCAUUUUACAUUCAUUGUGAAGCUGCAUUCUUAGUGAGCUGUCCAGGAGGUGGGAGGGUCUGGGAGGGAGGGUCUGCUGCUGUUUGGCUGGAAUGUGUCUG
RNAcentral lists this microRNA precursor (168 nucleotides) under Pelobates cultripes (western spadefoot toad). The record is from RNAcentral. Lineage: Eukaryota; Metazoa; Chordata; Amphibia; Anura; Pelobatidae.